UCAGCAGCUGCUCUGAGGAGAACAGUAUCUGUGUCUUACAUAACAAUUACUUGGAUGAUUUUCUGCAGGGAGUUGCUAUUUUUCUGUUGACAAGGCACAUUGAAUUGAUCAUUUGGCAUUACAUCAUAUUCAAUUUACUGUCUCAUAACACUUUAUUUGUUUUAUAUAAGGAGUUGUGUGCCAGAGGGCUUUGAUGAUGUUGAAAAUGCGCCAUUUCAGUCACUCACCUCCACUGCUAAUGGUUUUGCUGCCAGCUCUUUAAACUUGAAUUAAUUUGGCAACUUAGCUCUCAAGUAGAAGUAGGAAAUCUACUUUUGAACAUAGAUCAAGCCAGCUGGAAGCCGAAAUGUAAGAGAAUUUCUGAAGACAUAGCCAAGUCCCAAGGACAUGACAGAAAAGGUGGCGGAUUCUUGCUUUAGAAGACAAAUGUAAGCAGGUAAGAAAAGAAAAGAAAUUUCUUCCCCUACUGUGGCUGUCUGAAGGAAUAAUGGUGCCCUAGGCAACAGAUACUGCUGACUUGUGGAAAUAAAUAGCCUACUGUGGUCUGAAGAGACUACCGUGAAGAAAACAAACCACCAUGAGGACAAGUCACAGCAUCCCACCCUCCAAAGUCAAUCUAAAGGGCUGGACUACACACAUCACAAGAAAUAAUGUGCAGCUCUAAAUACCCUGGAUUUUUAUUACCUGGUUCUCUGACUUCAGUUGCUUCAUAGUCAUCAGAAGGGCUCUACUACACACAGACUUCUGAGUCCCACCUUACACUUCUGAUUUGGAAUUCAUAUGAGUUUCCAGGUGUUGUGGGUCCAGGGUAGCACCUUACAAACCACUGCUCUAUUCCUAUCUCACAGCUUCCUCCUUUUGUAGACGUUACAGCUAUGGAAUUAAAUAUGGAUUAUAGGGAUAUUGAUACAAUUUACCUGCCUUCCCCCACCAAAAUGUAAUUUCAAGUCAAGAGGUAUUUAUUGACAUUUUAUUCUGGAAGAACUGGGGAAACAAUAAUAAAUAAAAGAUUUUUUUUUUACUUCAGAGAGCAUAUAUACUAAUAGAGAAUGCAGAUAACAAAUAUCAAAGCAAACAUGCCAGUGAAAUAUGAAUUAUUUGUAUUUCAGAUUGGCAUUAUCAAAAGGAUAUUCAAUAAGAAAAUAUAUGGUAGCAUGACAGAAAGUACCUAGGUGUUAGGGUAUCAAUAAAUGUUGGUCAGGAGUGACUCUUGAAGUGGAUGACAUUUAAGAUGAGAGCAGGGAAGAGAGAAGAAAAGAAAAAAAAAGGAAAAGAAGGAAGAGAAAAGAAACUAAGAAAUCUCUUAUUAAUAAUUUGGAAAAUACCAACAGAAGAAACAGAAUAGACGGAGAUUGGAGAAGUCACAGGUUAGAAAGUAAGAUGCUGAUGUUACGCUUCCCAGUGAGAAAAACAAAUAGAGAUAUUGUCACUUCUACUUCUGAGUCCCAAUGCUUAUAUUAAUAUCUGGGACAUACAAAGUUCUCAAUAUUUAGUUGUUAAGACAUGAGAUCUCUGCCCUCCUCCUCUCCUCUCUCUGCUCUCUGCCUCUCCUUUUCAGGCAGCCCCCCAAUAAAAUCUAUAAUUCUUAGUUGAAUAGAUGAGCAAUUUGUUGAGAAAAAAAAAUGGGUAUAAAUUUCAAUGGAUGAGGAUAUACUUCAUGCAAAUAGAGAUACCACUAUAUUUUAUAGUUUUUUUAAAUACUUCAAAUGACAGAAUAUAUUAUUAACCAUUAUUCUCAAAUUUCUCCUACAAGUACCAAACAAAGAAAUAAUUUAUUAUUAAAAUGGAGACCACAGGGCUGGGGUUGCAGCUCAGUGGCUGAGCACUUGCCCCGCACCUGUGGGGCACUGGGUUCAAUUCUCAACACCACAUAUAAAUGAAUAAAUAAAA
Molecule: long non-coding RNA, 1890 nt
Organism: Marmota monax (woodchuck)
Lineage: Eukaryota; Metazoa; Chordata; Mammalia; Rodentia; Sciuridae
Exons: 4
Source: RefSeq, a predicted model, not a curated record